GACGAACGCUGGCGGCGUGCUUAACACAUGCAAGUCGAACGGGCCCGCUCUCUUUUUUGGGGGUGGGUUGAGUGGCGAACGGGUGAGUAUCACGUGAGUAACCUGCCCCCUGCUCCUGGAUAACUGCUUGAAAGGGCGGCUAAUACGGGGUGUGCCGGCUGGUCCGCAUGGGCCUGGUCGGGAUAGUUUCAUCUUCGGGUGUUUCGGUGGGGGAUGGGCUCGCGGCCUAUCAGCUUGUUGGUGGGGUGAUGGCCCACCAAGGCGGUGACGGGUAGCCGGCUUGAGAGGGUGGGCGGCUAUACGGGGACUGAGACACGGCCCAGACUCCGGCGGGAGGCAGCAGUGGGGGGUAUUGCACAAUGGGCGGAAGCCUGGUGCAGCGACGUCGCGUGAGGGAUGGAGGCCUUCGGGUUGUGAACCUCUUUCUCCGGUGGUGAAGGCCCUGUCCGUUGCGGCGGGGUUGACGGUAGCCGGGUAUGAAGCGCCGGCUAACUACGUG
Molecule: ribosomal RNA, 499 nt
Filed under: uncultured bacterium
Lineage: Bacteria
Description: partial 16S ribosomal RNA
Rfam family: Bacterial small subunit ribosomal RNA
Source: RNAcentral